GGCCGUCCAUUCAAAGCCAUUAGGUGAACAAAUUUCUGCGAACACCUCCCAAAGUUAACACAAGAUAAUUCAAAAUGGUCAAUUAACACUGCCUUAAUAAUCCAUUGCCGAGUCCUAAAUGAUCAAGAAAUAACUCAUUGAAGUUGCACUGCCGUGCAAAUGUUUGGAUCUUAGACUACACAAAAAUGACAGCUACACCAACAGUUUAAAAUCAAGUAGCAUCCUUCCCACCAAAAAAAAAAAAGUUCAAUAUGCAGAACAACUCCAAACAAAAGCCCAGAACCCUUGCAACUAUCCUCAAUGACGAUACCUGUCCCUGUUCCUUUCACGGUCUCGGUCCCUGUCGCGGCCAUGUUCUCUAUCUUGAUCACAAUCAUAAUCCCAGUCUCGAUCUUUUCCUCUAUCCCUCUCCCUACUUCGACUUCUGUGCCUAUCCCUACCACUGUGUUCUCUGUACUUGCUGCUUUCUUUGUCAUCCCUCUCCCUCCCUCUCUCUCUGCUUCUCUCCCUCCCAUCUCUGUCAACUGAACCUAGUUCCUCAACCUCCCAUCCUGCACGCCCAGCACCCGGAGGUAACCUUCCAGAUUCAGCUUGUUGGGUUUUGGCACGAAACUUUUUCUUCAGAUUGCCAAACUCAUCAUAUAACUCACCAUCAUCUUCUUCCACUUCCUUCCGCCGUCGCCUAGUUUCCUCUAUUUCUUCUUC
RNAcentral lists this unclassified non-coding RNA (705 nucleotides) under Hevea brasiliensis (rubber tree). Lineage: Eukaryota; Viridiplantae; Streptophyta; Magnoliopsida; Malpighiales; Euphorbiaceae. The record is from RNAcentral.